GGCAUAACCCCGGGAAACUGGGGAUAAUUCCGGAUAACGCACAUAUGCUGGAAUGCUUUAUGCGUAAAAUGGAUUCGUCUGCCCAAGGAUGGGUCUGCGGCCUAUCAGGUAGUAGUGGGUGUAAUGUACCUACUAGCCAACAACGGGUACGGGUUGUGAGAGCAAGAGCCCGGAGAUGGAUUCUGAGACAUGAAUCCAGGCCCUACGGGGCGCAGCAGGCGCGAAAACUUUACAAUGCGGGAAACCGUGAUAAGGGGACACCGAGUGCCAGCGUCAUACGCUGGCUGUCCAGGUGUGUAAAAUACACCUGUUAGCAAGGGCCGGGCAAGACCGGUGCCAGCCGCCGCGGUAACACCGGCGGCCCGAGUGGUGAUCGUGAUUAUUGGGUCUAAAGGGUCCGUAGCCGGUUUGGUCAGUCCUCCGGGAAAUCUGAUAGCUCAACUAUUAGGCUUUCGGGGGAUACUGCCAGACUUGGAACCGGGAGAGGUAAGAGGUACUACAGGGGUAGGAGUGAAAUCUUGUAAUCCCUGUGGGACCACCUGUGGCGAAGGCGUCUUACCAGAACGGGUUCGACGGUGAGGGACGAAAGCUGGGGGCACGAACCGGAUUAGAUACCCGGGUAGUCCCAGCCGUAAACGAUGCUCGCUAGGUGUCAGGCAUGGCGCGACCGCGUCUGGUGCCGCAGGGAAGCCGUGAAGCGAGCCACCUGGGAAGUACGGCCGCAAGGCUGAAACUUAAAGGAAUUGGCGGGGGAGCACACGGCUCAGUAACACGUAUUAUAGGAAUUGGCGGGGGAGCAC
RNAcentral lists this ribosomal RNA (800 nucleotides) under uncultured bacterium. Its description in RNAcentral is "bacterial SSU rRNA". It matches the Rfam family "Archaeal small subunit ribosomal RNA", at positions 123 to 1319 of the family's 1478-position model. The record is from RNAcentral.